Molecule: unclassified non-coding RNA, 240 nt
Filed under: soil metagenome
Description: partial contains 5.8S ribosomal RNA, internal transcribed spacer 2, and large subunit ribosomal RNA
Source: RNAcentral
AACCAUAGAAACCUGCGGAGUACCUGCGGAGGGAUCAUUACCGAGUGUUUAACCUCCAAAAAAAGGGGGUUACCUCCCGUCCUUUGCAGGCCCUUUUAGGGGCUUUUAAAACUUUGCUUCGGCGGGGUUACUCCGCCGAAACACCCUCAAAAAAUUCUGAUUUUUUAAAAACUUGUUCAGUCCGAGAAUAUAUUUAUGAAAAUAUAAAAAAACUUUUAGCAAUGGAUCUCAGAUCGGAAG